Molecule: ribosomal RNA, 301 nt
Filed under: uncultured bacterium
Lineage: Bacteria
Description: partial 16S ribosomal RNA
Rfam family: Bacterial small subunit ribosomal RNA
Source: RNAcentral
CAGUAGCCGCGGUAAUACGUAGGUGGCAAGCGUUGUCCGGAAUUAUUGGGCGUAAAGGGCUCGCAGGCGGUUUCUUAAGUCUGAUGUGAAAGCCCCCGGCUCAACCGGGGAGGGUCAUUGGAAACUGGGAAACUUGAGUGCAGAAGAGGAGAGUGGAAUUCCACGUGUAGCGGUGAAAUGCGUAGAGAUGUGGAGGAACACCAGUGGCGAAGGCGACUCUCUGGUCUGUAACUGACGCUGAGGAGCGAAAGCGUGGGGAGCGAACAGGACUAGAGACCCGUGUAGUCCCUGUCUCUUAUAC